UAUAAAAUCAAGAUUAACCUAAUUUCUAACCAAAUUAUCUUAAUUCCUAAUUAACCCUAAUUCAUCAAAAACUAUGUUAACUCCUAAUUGUCAAAAAUCAAGAAGAAAACCCUAUUUCUGAUAAAAUCAGCAAAACAGGAUCAAGAUUAACAACAAAAAAACCUGGAAUUAAAAUGAAUAAAUUAAGCAAGGAUUAAUCACACGAAUCUAUGCAGUUGGGCUCCGUUGUUGUUGCUCGAUUGCAUUGCGAUGAAGAGCGAGUGAUGGUCGUUGAUUUGUGAUGAAAAGUUGAGUUGAUGAAUGACGAAGGGUUGGGAUCAAAGGGGCUCUUUUUGUUGUGGAGCUUGCUUGAAUUUGCUAUGGAAUAAUGGCUUGGUGAAAGUGGCAUUGCUUGGAAUUUUGGCUAGGAUGUUUGGGAUUUAUGGAGCUAGUUGGUUAUUAUGGAAUUUUCUAUGGACAUUGUUGUAGUGGUUUAUGUUAUGAAUUUGGAAAUAGAAAUUGUAAUGGAAUUGAUGUAAUGGUUUAUGUAGGGAUUGUGGUAAUCUUUGUUAUAAUGGAUUGGUUUUGAAAACGUAA
Long non-coding RNA from Lathyrus oleraceus (garden pea), 576 nucleotides. RefSeq lists it as uncharacterized. The transcript has 2 exons. The record is from RefSeq and is a predicted model, not a curated record. Lineage: Eukaryota; Viridiplantae; Streptophyta; Magnoliopsida; Fabales; Fabaceae.